GGGGCGGUAGCUCAGUUGGUUAGAGCUCCGGACUCAUAAUCCGGUCGUCGUGGGUUCGAGCCCCACCCGCCCCAC
Molecule: transfer RNA, 75 nt
Filed under: uncultured Actinomycetes bacterium
Lineage: Bacteria; Bacillati; Actinomycetota; Actinomycetes
Also listed under: 1 other name
Description: uncultured actinobacterium tRNA-Met
Rfam family: tRNA
About the family: Transfer RNA (tRNA) molecules are approximately 80 nucleotides in length.
Source: RNAcentral